GCCGGAUCCCUCCCGCACCCCAUCCCUCGGCAGGCAGGCAGCUCGGCUCUGCCGGGGCUCUGUCAGCCCCUCCAGCUGGCCAACGCAAUUGAGACAAAAGCUGCAAUCACGCUCAUUUCCAACAAAGCCAUAAAGGCGACGGGAGCCACUCACUCUGCACUCUCUUCCUGCUCCUCCUCUUUCUUAUCCUCUUCUUUCCUCUUUUCCUCUUUCUUCUCCUUCUCUUUUUUCUUCUCCUUCUCUUUCUUCCUCUUCUCUUCCUUCUUCCUCUUUUCCUCUUUCUUCCUCUUCUCCUCUUUCUCUUUCUUCCUGUCCUCCUCUUUCUUCCUGUUCUCCUCUUUCUUCCUCUCUUCCUCUAUCUUCCUUUUCUCCUCCUCUUUCUUCCUCUCCUCUUCCUCUUUUUUACUCUCCUCCUCCUUCUUCUUCCUCUCCUCCUCCUCCUUUUUCUUGCCCUCUUCCUCCUUUUUUCUGUCCUCCUCCUCUUUCUUCCUCUCCUCUUCCUCCUUUUUCCUGUCCUCUUCCUCCUCUUGCUUCCUCUCCCCUUCCUCCCUCUCCUCCUCCUCUUUCUUCCUUUCCUCCUCCUCCUCCUCUUGCUUCCUCUCCUCUUCCUUCUUCUUCCUCUCCUCUUCCUCCUCAUUUUUCUUGCCCUCUUCCUCUUUUUUACUGUCCUCCUCCAUCUUCCUCUCCUCUUCCUCCUUUUUCCUGUCUUCCUCCUCUUGCUUCAUCUCUUCUUCUUCUUCUUUCUUCCUCUUGUCUUCCUCCUCUUUCUUCCUCUCUUCCUCCUCCUCUUUCUUCUCCUCCUCCUCCUUUUCCUCUUCCCCCUUGGUCACGUUUGGGGAGCCCAAGCAGAGUCUGGAAAGGAGAAGCUGGUUAGGGAAUUGCUCUCAUGGCUCUGCCACUGCCUGCCCUGACCAGAAUCAAGACACCAGAAGAAAAAGACAUUUGAUCAAGCAGCUUUUGGAUCCUACUGGGGCAUGCCCCCCAUUUUGGAAACAGGCAGCUCCACCGCCAGCACUUGCAAGGAUGGAUGCCCAGGGACAGGCUUGUCCCCUCCCAUGGCCACCACACUGGGGACUGGAGAACACACAGACCUGCCCACCAACAGCAUCUCCCUUCCCCUACCUGUUCUCCUCUUCCUGAGGUUCUUCCUGUAUGGUGGGGAGGGAAUGAGCAUCUGCCUCCAGCUCAGCCCUGUGAGCCCAGGCCGCCACCUCUUCGUUAAUCUGGCCGUCAUCAAUCUCUUUCAGGACGAGAUGAGUUUCCUCCUGUUCCCCAGGGGCUACAUGAACUGAAACAGGAAUGAGGAAAGGGAGGUGAUGGAGUGACAGUAGCACAUUCUCAAGAGGUCAGGUUAGGGCAGAUCCCAGGUUUCCUUGGCUCGAUGGGGCAGUGCUGAAGCAGCUCUCAGCCUGCAGAGCUGGGCAGCCCUGCUGCCCCUGAGCUGUGCUGCACGGGUG
Molecule: long non-coding RNA, 1457 nt
Filed under: Cyanistes caeruleus (blue tit)
Lineage: Eukaryota; Metazoa; Chordata; Aves; Passeriformes; Paridae
Description: lncRNA (ENSCCEG00000008194.1)
Source: RNAcentral